Long non-coding RNA from Cyprinus carpio (common carp), 539 nucleotides. RefSeq lists it as uncharacterized. NCBI's taxonomy places the organism in Eukaryota, Metazoa, Chordata, Actinopteri, Cypriniformes, Cyprinidae. The transcript is spliced from 4 exons. The record is from RefSeq and is a predicted model, not a curated record.
UGAGAAGUUUGGAGACCCCAGAGGAAUAGUACAGUUCACAGAACAGGACCUGAUUGAGCGCAUUUACAGUGAGCCUUCGGACAGCGAAGGGCCACUCAAAAUAUCACUCCUUAUCUGCCAUUUAGUAGCCAGGUGUUCUUUGUGCCGGGCUUUAACUUAAGUGUUGAGCUGAUGGAUGUGACUCUGAUUGGUCCCCUCCCAGAAUUCAACUGGAAUCAAAGCUGGCUGUUGUUUCUGUUCCUGAAGUGGCAGCUAAUGCUGAGGUACGGUAAUGCUUGCCCACGGUCAGAGGAGUGAGGUGAUCUCUCUCAGUGCUGUUAAUAACAUGUCAGUUGUCGCAGCUCACGCUGUUUACCUGACCUCUGUAGAGUCAGAGUCACCUGGUGGAGCCCGUCUCAGGACUGGUUACACAGUAGCUGAGGUGGAGCCAUUAGGAUUAUAUCAGUUUCGUCCUGAUUCUUGGCAGCUGGUCAUUGAGGAGGACGUGCAGACCAUCACCCACUACGUGCAGCGCCUCUAUGCCUUCCGCAGCAACCGUU